GGCCCGUUGGUCAAGCGGUUAAGACACCGCCCUUUCACGGCGGUAACACGGGUUCGAAUCCCGUACGUGUCA
RNAcentral lists this transfer RNA (72 nucleotides) under Listeria monocytogenes. RNAcentral's name for it is "tRNA-Glu". It matches the Rfam family "tRNA". From Rfam's summary of the family: Transfer RNA (tRNA) molecules are approximately 80 nucleotides in length. Their secondary structure includes four short double-helical elements and three loops (D, anti-codon, and T loops). The record is from RNAcentral. RNAcentral also lists the same sequence under 1 other name. Lineage: Bacteria; Bacillati; Bacillota; Bacilli; Caryophanales; Listeriaceae.